RNAcentral lists this ribosomal RNA (253 nucleotides) under uncultured bacterium. RNAcentral's name for it is "partial 16S ribosomal RNA". It matches the Rfam family "Bacterial small subunit ribosomal RNA", at positions 524 to 776 of the family's 1533-position model. The record is from RNAcentral.
UACAGAGGGUGCGAGCGUUAAUCGGAUUUACUGGGCGUAAAGGGCGCGUAGGCGGUGAGAUGUGUGUGAUGUGAAAGCCCCGGGCUCAACCUGGGAAGUGCAUCGCAAACUAUCUGACUAGAGUAUAUGAGAGGGUGGCGGAAUUUCCGGUGUAGCGGUGAAAUGCGUAGAUAUCGGAAGGAACGUCAAUGGCGAAGGCAGCCACCUGGCAUAAUACUGACGCUGAGGCGCGAAAGCGUGGGGAGCGAACAGG